RNAcentral lists this ribosomal RNA (253 nucleotides) under uncultured bacterium. RNAcentral describes it as "partial 16S ribosomal RNA". It matches the Rfam family "Bacterial small subunit ribosomal RNA", at positions 524 to 776 of the family's 1533-position model. The record is from RNAcentral.
UACGAAGGGGGCUAGCGUUGCUCGGAAUCACUGGGCGUAAAGGGUGCGUAGGCGGGUCUUUAAGUCAGGGGUGAAAUCCCGGAGCUCAACUCCAGAACUGCCUUUGAUACUGAAGAUCUUGAGUUCGGGAGAGGUGAGUGGAACUGCGAGUGUAGAGGUGAAAUUCGUAGAUAUUCGCAAGAACACCAGUGGCGAAGGCGGCUCCCUGGCACGAUACUGACGCUGAGGCGCGAAAGCGUGGGGAGCAAACAGG